RNAcentral lists this transfer RNA (840 nucleotides) under uncultured Synechococcus sp. RNAcentral's name for it is "partial contains 16S ribosomal RNA, 16S-23S ribosomal RNA intergenic spacer, and 23S ribosomal RNA". The stretch from base 283 to 355 matches the Rfam family "tRNA". The record is from RNAcentral. Lineage: Bacteria; Bacillati; Cyanobacteriota; Cyanophyceae; Synechococcales; Synechococcaceae.
UGGAUCACCUCCUAACAGGGAGACAACACAAUGAUUUUAAUGCCUGAGUGCUUUUAUUCUUAGGCUGAAAUCCUGUCACCUUAGGUCGAUCGGUACCUCAGCUUUGAAGUUAAGGAUCAGCAGCAAUGUCGAUUGCUUGAUGGAGAUUUUCAGUUCCUAAACUUUGUCUAGGUCACACCCCAAAAGGGAUGAGACUCCUGGGCCAUUAGCUCAGGUGGUUAGAGCGCACCCCUGAUAAGGGUGAGGUCCCUGGUUCAAGUCCAGGAUGGCCCAUUCGGUGUUGGGGGUUUAGCUCAGUUGGUAGAGCGCCUGCUUUGCAAGCAGGAUGUCAGGAGUUCGAGUCUCCUAACCUCCACUGACCGAAAUGAAUCCCCAUCUCCCAAGAGUGGAGUAUGAGCUCGUAUGGAUUGUGAUUUAGAUUUGUCCGCUAGAUGAUCCUAGCUUCUUGUCAUUUUAAAGAAUGGGAGUGAACCCAAGAUUUAAUUGAUAGGACGCUGGGCUCAAUGAAUGGAUUGAGAGAUCAAUGCAUUGAUUUGAUGUCUAGCCGAACCUUGACAACUGCAUAGUAAGUCUGGAAAGAAUAAAACAUCUCAUAGAUGCAUCAUUCUUGAGGGUUAAUUCUUGAUGGAAUGAUGUUAAUUCUACGAGCAAGAGCCGAGACUCCAUCACGUUCUUUCAAAUGUGUCGAGCAUUUGAGAGUUUGAUUUUAAGUUCUAAGUUAGAAGUUCUAAGUUAGAAGUUAAAAGAAUCUGUUUCAACAACAGCAAGCGUGUUGGAGAUACAUUGGUCAAGCUACAAAGGGCUCACGGCGGAUACCUUGGCACACAGAGGCGAUGAAGG